GCUGGGCGUUGUGGCGCACACCUGUAAUCCCAGCUACUUGGGAGGCUGAGGCAGGAGAAUCACUUGAACCUGGAAAGCGGAGGUUGCAGUGAGCCGAGAUCACGCCACUGCACUCCAGCCUGGGUGACAAAGUGAGAUUCUGUCUCCA
Callithrix jacchus (white-tufted-ear marmoset) is the source of this 148-nucleotide unclassified non-coding RNA. It matches the Rfam family "Metazoan signal recognition particle RNA". From Rfam's summary of the family: The signal recognition particle (SRP) is a universally conserved ribonucleoprotein. It is involved in the co-translational targeting of proteins to membranes. Lineage: Eukaryota; Metazoa; Chordata; Mammalia; Primates; Cebidae. The record is from Ensembl.